AAAAAAAUAAUAAUAAAUAAAAAUGCUGACAAUCACUGUGUGAAUUUCACUAACAGUUAAUUGUCGGACUCUCUUAAAUUACAUGCAUCUGCAACUUUGUUAUUAUAUUGACUCAGGAAGGAAAGCACCAAGAUAAUUUAUGCAAAUAUCUCGAAAGUGGCAAUUUUUCAGAAAAACAGAACUCUAGAUAUUGAAAACUUCUUCAGUGUCUCAGUUCAGAAACUUACAGAGUGGAGCGAUCCUCCAUUUCUGGUGAUCUCCUUUGUUCCAAUAGGCGAGGACAACUUUCGUACCAUUU
Molecule: unclassified non-coding RNA, 298 nt
Filed under: Hevea brasiliensis (rubber tree)
Lineage: Eukaryota; Viridiplantae; Streptophyta; Magnoliopsida; Malpighiales; Euphorbiaceae
Source: RNAcentral